Molecule: ribosomal RNA, 153 nt
Filed under: uncultured bacterium
Lineage: Bacteria
Description: partial 16S ribosomal RNA
Rfam family: Bacterial small subunit ribosomal RNA
Source: RNAcentral
UGGGGAAUAUUGGACAAUGGGCGCAAGCCUGAUCCAGCCAUGCCGCGUGAGUGAUGAAGGCCCUAGGGUUGUAAAGCUCUUUUAGUGGGGAUGGCUCAGGGUUAACACCUCUGGGUCUUGACCUAACCCACAGAAAAAGCACCGGCUAACUCU